UACCUGCAGUCGAACGGUGAAGGUGGGAGCUUGCUCCUGCUGGAUCAGUGGCGAACGGGUGAGUAACACGUGAGUAACCUGCCCUUGACUCUGGGAUAAGCGUUGGAAACGACGUCUAAUACCGGAUACGAGCUUCAGCCGCAUGGCUAGGAGUUGGAAAGAAUUUCGGUCAAGGAUGGACUCGCGGCCUAUCAGCUUGUUGGUGAGGUAAUGGCUCACCAAGGCGACGACGGGUAGCCGGCCUGAGAGGGUGACCGGCCACACUGGGACUGAGACACGGCCCAGACUCCUACGGGAGGCAGCAGUGGGGAAUAUUGCACAAUGGGCGCAAGCCUGAUGCAGCAACGCCGCGUGAGGGACGACGGCCUUCGGGUUGUAAACCUCUUUUAGCAGGGAAGAAGCGAAAGUGACGGUACCUGCAGAAAAAGCACCGGCUAACUACGUGCCAGCAGCCGCGGUAAUACGUAGGGUGCAAGCGUUGUCCGGAAUUAUUGGGCGUAAAGAGCUCGUAGGCGGUUUGUCGCGUCUGCUGUGAAAACGCGAGGCUCAACCUCGCGCCUGCAGUGGGUACGGGCAGACUAGAGUGCGGUAGGGGAGAUUGGAAUUCCUGGUGUAGCGGUGGAAUGCGCAGAUAUCAGGAGGAACACCGAUGGCGAAGGCAGAUCUCUGGGCCGUAACUGACGCUGAGGAGCGAAAGCGUGGGGAGCGAACAGGAUUAGAUACCCUGGUAGUCCACGCCGUAAACGUUGGGAACUAGAUGUAGGGACCAUUCCACGGUUUCUGUGUCGCAGCUAACGCAUUAAGUUCCCCGCCUGGGGAGUACGGUCGCAAGA
This 833-nucleotide ribosomal RNA is filed under the name Herbiconiux sp. HCA3-10_Pa. Its description in RNAcentral is "bacterial SSU rRNA". It matches the Rfam family "Bacterial small subunit ribosomal RNA", at positions 52 to 893 of the family's 1533-position model. Lineage: Bacteria; Bacillati; Actinomycetota; Actinomycetes; Micrococcales; Microbacteriaceae. The record is from RNAcentral.